UACAGAGGGGGCAAGCGUUGUUCGGAAUUACUGGGCGUAAAGGGCGCGUAGGCGGCCUGUUAAGUCGAACGUGAAAUCCCCGGGCUCAACCCGGGAACUGCGUCCGAUACUGGCAGGCUUGAAUCCGGGAGAGGGAUGUGGAAUUCCAGGUGUAGCGGUGAAAUGCGUAGAUAUCGAGAGGAACACCUGCGGCGAAGGCGGGUUGCUGGGCUGAUACUGACGCUGAGGCGCGAAAGCCAGGGGAGCGAACGGG
RNAcentral lists this ribosomal RNA (253 nucleotides) under uncultured bacterium. RNAcentral's name for it is "partial 16S ribosomal RNA". It matches the Rfam family "Bacterial small subunit ribosomal RNA", at positions 524 to 776 of the family's 1533-position model. The record is from RNAcentral.